RNAcentral lists this ribosomal RNA (526 nucleotides) under uncultured bacterium. RNAcentral's name for it is "bacterial SSU rRNA". It matches the Rfam family "Bacterial small subunit ribosomal RNA", at positions 981 to 1498 of the family's 1533-position model. The record is from RNAcentral.
UUGACAUAGGGUGUCGCGGAUAUCAGAGAUGAUGUCUUUUCAGUUUCGGCUGGACACAUUACAAGGUGCUGCAUGGCUGUCGUCAGCUCGUGUCGUGAGAUGUUUGGGUUAAGUCCCGCAACGAGCGCAACCCUCGUCUUUAGUUACCAUCAGGUUUGGCUGGGUACUCUAGAGAGACUGCCGGUGAUAAACCGGAGGAAGGUGGGGAUGACGUCAAGUCCUCAUGGCCCUUAUGGGUUGGGCUACACACGUGCUACAAUGGCGGUGACAGUGAGCAGCGACGGGGCGACCCUAAGCUAAUCUCCAAAAGCCGUCUCAGUUCGGAUUGUACUCUGCAACUCGAGUGCAUGAAGUUGGAAUCACUAGUAAUCGUAGAACAGCAUGCUACGGUGAAUACGUUCUCGGGCCUUGUACACACCGCCCGUCAUACCAUGGGAGUUGAUCCUACUCUAAGCCGGCAAGCCAACCUUCGGGAGGCAGCCGACCACAGUGGGGUUAGCGACUGGGGUAAAGUCGUAACAAGGUA